This is a long non-coding RNA of Gambusia affinis (western mosquitofish), 2827 nucleotides long. RefSeq lists it as uncharacterized. The transcript is spliced from 3 exons. The record is from RefSeq and is a predicted model, not a curated record. NCBI's taxonomy places the organism in Eukaryota, Metazoa, Chordata, Actinopteri, Cyprinodontiformes, Poeciliidae.
GCUAGUGGAAUAAUUAAAUAUUUAUUGGGAAAAUUUAAGUAGCCUAUUUAGUUAGCACUGGAGUUGCCAUCCGCCCUAUAAAAUAUGGAAUUGUCUACAAGAUACGGAAUAGUCCGGUAUUUUGGCAAAUAAAUUUUACGUCCCGAAGCGAUAUGGAAAGCGAUUUGUAGUGUAUAUGAUUUGUUCCUAUCUCGCACCAGCAGCGGGCGAGAGGCGGGGUACACCUGGACAGGUAGCCAGUCCAUAGCAGUCUGUUCAUUAGGAUAAAUGAAAUUAUUGGCUUUCAUAUUUUAAUUUCACAAUUUUCAUAAUCUACAUGAGAAGCCACAAUGGGCGUUUCUUCUUGAAACUUAUGAAAGGUGGCAACCCCAGUUAGCACACCUCAUGUUAUAGAAUAUCAGUUAGCAUCUAUGAUGGAUCAAUGGUGUGAUUCUGUUGUGUUCAUUGCAGCUCGGCUGCUUGCUUUUAACAUGGGUUUAAUUCACCACUUCAUGAUAAUUUUACUCUUUCACCAGAGUCAUCUGGCGGGCUGAUGAGUUUAAACUUAAAUGGCUUUGUGUUCUUUGUUAUUGUGUUUAACAUUGCUUUGUCACUGACACUGUUGAUUAUUCAGGCCUGUGCAUGAGGGGACAGAAACCAGGAGCUCCAAAAUUAACCUGAAUUGGAGCUUGUCUGAACUGAACAACUUUGUGUGUCAAAGCUACCCACACAUCAGCCUAAAUCUGGUUGGCUUUGAACUGGCAAGAGCUGGAAAAGGACGAAAGGUAAAAAAAAAAAUUACAAGUGAAUUCUGUAAGGGAGCUGAAGGAAAAGGUUGGCAAAAGCAGAUCCUACAUUUUGCCACGAGCAGAUGUGUCACACGUAUGAUUGUUUUUUACACAAAAAUAAUUUUAUGUAGUGUGGUACAUCCAAAGUAAUAUCUUCCACUAUAAUUUGAAAUGUCUUGGCCAUGUCUAGGAAACCUGUCAACCUCAGCAAUGUCCAGGAGUUUGUUUGCAGAACCCUCAACUGCACCAGAAGUACAGGAUGUCUCUCCAGAGGUUGAGAGAGUACCAACAGACAACAUUUGGAGGAAGAGCAGAUUGGCGAUCUCUGUGGUCCCAGCAAGACGAAGAGUAUGAAGAGUCUUUUUUAGCAGACCAAGAAAAUAAGGAGAAUGCAGUCCCAUUACCCUUGGAAUGAUACUGGAGUUUGUUUCUGGAGCAUCCACUGUACCUCCACUGGGCUUUCCCCAUCGUCCACAAAUUGAAUUCCUCCAUGAGGCUAACAGAGUCUUCCCAGAAGCAAAUACUUGCCUGAUAGUACUCUGCCUUCCUGUACACCCAGACUAUGAGUCUUUCACAAAGUACAUGACAGACGGGGUGCUGCAGGGACCUACCUUUGGUGUUGCAUAAUCAGCUAAUAACUGUAAUAAGCAUUUCUUUUAAAAUAGAGUUGGAAUGUUUUGAAAAGUUAAGUAUUUUAAAGCAAGUUAUAGUAAAGGUAAUGUAAUGGCCGAAAUAUUGGAAUGUAAAUACAAUAUUGGCUUCUCUUUUUUUUUGCAAAGAAUAGGAGUCUUUUUAACCACUUUUUGGUUUCACAAUUUAAAGGUGUACAUUUAAGCCACACUGCAAAUCAAAAGGUCUACUCUGGUAAUGAACACUGCUCAAUUGCUCUCCAGAAUGUGUAAUUAAUUUGUUAUAUCUUUAAACACCUUAACAUUUAUAAUUAAAUCUGAAAGGUUACCUACUCAUGUCAAUUCUGAGUUUUAUUUGUAGUAAUUGUAGCUUUAGAACAAUGCAUUUGAUCAAAUGUUCUGUGACAUGUACUUAAAUCAAUAAAGCAUUUGCAGUUUCUGCACAACAGGCCUGGUAUUUCUCCUUCAGAUCUGAAAUAUGAUUGACUGCAAGAUUAAAUGACUGAGGUCGGUGCCGACUGAGCCUGGUCCAAGGUGGUUCUACAACUACGCUAGGAACCUCUUCAGCAACAGUGGUUGGUAGUGGCCAAAGGCCAUGCUGUUGCAGAGUCUCUGAUUAGCUGGAAGUUUCACCAAACACGUUGUUAGUUGCUGUGCUGUUUGCCAACAUCCGUUCAGUGCAGAUUUCUGUUGGUGUUUUAUUGUUUUCUGUAUGCAAGGAAUGGUGGUUCCACGCCUUUCUGAAUUGUUCCAGUCGGCUUUGACUCUCAGGAAGAAAAACUAUGUGAAGAGAAAGUUUGUGCACAUCAUUGCUGGGAUCCAAGAGGGCUGAAUCUUUAAGAUUAUAAAAUGUGCUAUAAAAUGGUUCCAGAACAUGUAAAACCACAUCCCUCCAAAGACGCUCAACUCUGAUUAUGGAUGGAUUCCCCAGUUAGAUGACUCCGACGUUCAUCACCAGUGCCACAUUUUCUCCACUAUGGUCUGACCUCACUCUAGAAGGUAAACCAUAGAGGCCUAUUGCCUUGAGAAAAUGAAAUAGCACUGUUGAGAUGUGAUUGUCUGUGCUGCAGUUCAAGUAGGUAACUAAGCGAGAACAUCCAUUGAUGCCACCAUGGACCACAAAGCCCCACCUUGGGCCAAAAGAAAGUCGAUCUGCUCUUUUAUAAUAUGAAUAACUGGUCUACCUCGACCACCUAAAAUAGAAUCAUAUUUUAAAAUCGAAUCAUAUUUUAGGUGGUCUUAGCAUAAUGUUUACUUUAUACAUCUGUUUUUUUCUGUUUGUCUAUAUCUGUCUAUCCUCUGCAGGUGUCCCUGUAUCUCCUAAAGGUGACACUAUGCAUUUCACACUGUGUAUAAAUUUAUUUUGAUAUACAUAAUUUCCUGUUACAAAUGCAUGAACACAAAGCUUUCAACUUUUAUAGACGCUGGAAA